UUUCCUGAAAGAUGUGUUGUUUCCCAACAUUUACUGGAAGUCAUCCGAAAUAACCAAACCAAGAAAACAACAGGGUCACAAGAAGUGGUUAGUAACAGUUGUGUGUCUGUAAGUAUUUCUGUGUCCAGCACAAGCUUCAUCCCGAACAGAAAUGACAGAAUGGGGAGACAAUUAACAAUUAAUUGUGGUUAGCAACAGCACUUUCCACCGGAUAAGCACAACUUGUUUCCAUCAGUAAGUUUAAAGAAAAAUUAUUUAGUUGCGGAAGAUGUGGUUUAAGGGUAUUUACCUUUUGUAUAACUUAAUCUUUGGUGAUGUAAUCAAUCUAAUGUAGAUUAUGAGAAAUUUAGCAAUGCAUCGAUGGUAUAAUAUGGAUGUCUUCUCAAACAUUACUUGAAAAAACGUUAAAGCUAGUUUUCUCGUGGGCCCCUGCUACCAUUCGUUUCCUCCUCUGGUCCUUUCUGUAGCAAAAAUAACUAAUCAGUUGGAUGUACUGGUGUCCGUGUUGUUUAAAGAAUAAAACAUGGCUCCACUGUAUUUGAACCAUCAUACUGUACCUAUAAGCAUUAGUAUUGAUAAACCCGGAGCUAUACUCUGAUCAGAAGUAUAUUUCUAGUGGUCGUCUCCUACCAUUGAAAGAUUAACUGUCGUAUUGAACUUCAUGUUUAAUGUUUAUUUGGUUGUGUUCCAGUGAUGCAAUACAAAUCCUGUUAACGAUUGAUUUUGUGUGGGUUCCUCUUCUUAAAUUUGUCAUUUAUAGUCGGUGUGAUAUCAUCAGUGGUAAAGUUUGAGUUGUUUAUGACUCCCCUCCUGCUUGUUGGCAGAAUAUAACUUUUUAACACUGAGUUGUUGGUGAGCUGGUAUACUGGCACAUAUUUCUAUAUAUUUUUUUAUGAUCAACUCUGUUUCACCAGAUGGCAGUGAGUGCUGUGAGGGUAAGUCAGUACUAGUUAAACAACAAACGUCUUUUGAUCUUAUGUUUUCAUAUCAUAUCCAGAUGUUUGGUUGUCUUUAUGUAACUGUGAGCAGAGGGAAUCAUGUGAAUCAGCCACUGGGGUAUAACAUAGUGUUUGGUGUUGUUUAACCAAUGCAAGGCGUAUAUUUAUCCUGUUUCUGGUUUGACGUGAGUCAUUUUUAAUUGGUGCACACGUACAAGACUUCAAAACCUGACAACACUUUUAAAAGAAUAUCAAUAAACAUGAGGCAACAAAGUGAGGGGAUGCAUUGUGUUAGUGGCUGAUACAAGAUGAUCUCUGAUGACCUCUAUUUAGAUCUCAAUGUUGUUAGUUUCUC
Molecule: long non-coding RNA, 1293 nt
Organism: Gasterosteus aculeatus aculeatus (three-spined stickleback)
Lineage: Eukaryota; Metazoa; Chordata; Actinopteri; Perciformes; Gasterosteidae
Source: Ensembl